CACGUAGUUAGCCGGCGCUUUCUCUGCAGGUACCAUCAAUUUCUCUUCUUCCCUGCUAACAGAGGUUUACAACCCGAAGGCCGUCAUCCCUCACGCGGCGUCGCUGCAUCAGGCUUGCGCCCAUUGUGCAAUAUUCCCCACUGCUGCCUCCCGUAGGAGUCUGGGCCGUGUCUCAGUCCCAGUGUGGCCGGUCACCCUCUCAGGCCGGCUACCCGUCGUCGCCUUGGUGAGCCGUUACCUCACCAACAAGCUGAUAGGCCGUGAGCCCAUCUAUAACCACUACAUAACGCUUUCCACCAACACCCCAUGCGGAGAUUGGUCGUAUCCGGUAUUAGACCCAGUUUCCCAGGCUUAUCCCAGAGUUAAAGGUAGGUUACUCACGUAUUACUCACCCGUUUGCCACUAAUCCACCUAGCAAGCUAGGCUUCAUCGUUCGACUUGCAUGUGUUAAGCACGCCGCCAGCGUUCGUCCUGAGCCAGGAUCAAACUCUA
This 492-nucleotide ribosomal RNA is filed under the name uncultured Rothia sp. Its description in RNAcentral is "partial 16S ribosomal RNA". The record is from RNAcentral. Lineage: Bacteria; Bacillati; Actinomycetota; Actinomycetes; Micrococcales; Micrococcaceae.